GAUGAACGCUGGCGGCGUGCCUAAUACAUGCAAGUCGAACGGUAACAGGUCUUCGGAUGCUGACGAGUGGCGAACGGGUGAGUAAUACAUCGGAACGUGCCUAGUAGUGGGGGAUAACUACUCGAAAGAGUGGCUAAUACCGCAUGAGAUCUACGGAUGAAAGCAGGGGAUCGCAAGACCUUGUGCUACUAGAGCGGCCGAUGGCAGAUUAGGUAGUUGGUGGGAUAAAAGCUUGCCAAGCCGACGAUCUGUAGCUGGUCUGAGAGGACGAUCAGCCACACUGGGACUGAGACACGGCCCAGACUCCUACGGGAGGCAGCAGUGGGGAAUUUUGGACAAUGGGCGAAAGCCUGAUCCAGCCAUUCCGCGUGCAGGAUGAAGGCCUUCGGGUUGUAAACUGCUUUUGUACGGAACGAAACGGCUCUCUCUAAUACAGGGGGCUAAUGACGGUACCGCAAGAAUAAGCACCGGCUAACUACGUGCCAGCCGCCGCCGUAA
RNAcentral lists this ribosomal RNA (498 nucleotides) under uncultured bacterium. RNAcentral describes it as "partial 16S ribosomal RNA". It matches the Rfam family "Bacterial small subunit ribosomal RNA", at positions 28 to 523 of the family's 1533-position model. The record is from RNAcentral.